RNAcentral lists this long non-coding RNA (381 nucleotides) under Mytilus galloprovincialis (Mediterranean mussel). The record is from RNAcentral. Lineage: Eukaryota; Metazoa; Mollusca; Bivalvia; Mytilida; Mytilidae.
UGGUUUUCUAUCAAUUUCAAUAUGAACAUACAUUUAGUAUGUUAUGAACAUUUAAGUAAGGAGCCUGUAGUUCAGUGGUUGUCGUUUGUUUGUGUGUUACAUAUUUGUUUUUCGUUCCUUUUUGUACAUAAAUAAGGCCGCUAGUUUUCUCGUUUGAAUUUUUUUACAUCGUCAUUUCGGGGCCUUUUAAAGCUGAGUAUGCGGUAUGGGCUUUGCUCGUUGUUGAAGGCCGUACGGUGACAUAUAGUCGUUAAUUUCUGUGUCAUUUUGGUCUCUUGUGGAGAGUUGUCUCAACAUGGCAAUCAUACCACAUCUUUUUUUUUGUAAUCAAUGAAUUUUGUAAAAUAUUUAAUGAAUGGAGAAUUUCAGAAAAGGUAUCAA